RNAcentral lists this ribosomal RNA (440 nucleotides) under uncultured bacterium. RNAcentral describes it as "partial 16S ribosomal RNA". It matches the Rfam family "Bacterial small subunit ribosomal RNA", at positions 338 to 795 of the family's 1533-position model. The record is from RNAcentral.
CCUACGGGAGGCAGCAGUGGGGGAUAUUGCACAAUGGGGGAAACCCUGAUGCAGCGACGCCGCGUGGGUGAAGAAGCGCCUCGGCGCGUAAAGCCCUGUCAGCAGGGAAGAAAAUGACGGUACCUGAAGUAGAAGCCCCGGCCAACUACGUGCCCGCAGCCGCGGGAAUACGUAGGGGGCAAGCGUUAUCCGGAGUUACUGGGUGUAAAGGGGGCGCAGACGGCGAUGCAAGCCAGGAGUGAAAGCCCGGGGCCCAACCCCGGGACUGCUCUUGGAACUGCGUGGAUAGAGUGCAGGAGGGGCAGGCGGAAUUCCUGGUGUAGCGGUGAAAUGCGUAGAUAUCAGGAGGAACACCGGUGGCGAAGGCGGCCUGCUGGACUGCAACUGACGUUGAGGCCCGAAAGCGUGGGGAGCAAACAGGAUUAGAUACCCCUGUAGUC